UCUACGGGUGGCAGCAGUGGGGAAUAUUGGGCAAUGGGCGCAAGCCUGAUCCAGCAACGCCGCGUGAAGGAAGAAGGCUCUCGGGUUGUAAACUUCUUUUAUCAGGGACGAAGCAAGUGACGGUACCUGAUGAAGAAGCCACGGCCAACUACGUGCCAGCAGCCGCGGUAAUACGUAGGUGGCAAGCGUUAUCCGGAUUUACUGGGUGUAAAGGGCGUGUAGGCGGGAAAGCAAGUCAGAUGUGAAAACCAUGGGCUCAACCUGUGGCCUGCAUUUGAAACUGUUUUGCUUGAGUGCUGGAGAGGCAGACGGAAUUCCUAGUGUAGCGGUGAAAUGCGUAGAUAUUAGGAGGAACACCAGUGGCGAAGGCGGUCUACUGGACAGCAACUGACGCUGAGGCGCGAAAGCGUGGGGAGCAAACAGGAUUAGAUACCCGUGUAGUC
This 443-nucleotide ribosomal RNA is filed under the name uncultured bacterium. RNAcentral describes it as "partial 16S ribosomal RNA". It matches the Rfam family "Bacterial small subunit ribosomal RNA", at positions 338 to 795 of the family's 1533-position model. The record is from RNAcentral.